AGGAAACAACUGUUUUGAAGUGGAAUCCUUUGGCUAGUCCUUUAUUUUCUGAUGUAGAGGGGGAAAGAAGUAUAGAAUUGGUUCAGUCUGAGAUGUUUCCCAUGUGAUAAUCCUCUUGCAUUCUUCUAAAACACGGUGAUCUGGAAUAAUGGCUUCCAGCAAUGUAUCUUGAAUGUGCUUUUGUAAAAGAGUAGGGAGAUGCUACAUGACGGGCUUCCCUGCUGAAAAAGGCUGUUUCAGCAAAGCACUGACAUUGAACAACCCUUUGAAAGACACCAGGGACCUAAAGAACAUCAAUGCUGUCAGAUUUCCAGACCUGAAUUCCUCCCUAUAAUACCCAGGCUUGUAGCCAAUUUGGCUGCCUCGGAGCAGUUGUAUCUUUAAAAAAUGCUUGAUGUGUUUUCACGUUUCAAAAAGAAAAGAAGUAAAACACUGCAGCAUGAUUCAGGAACGCAGGCAGAUGAUGAAGCGGAGCAACAAAGUCACCAGUGAAGACAACUCAAGCAGAGACGACCUUCUUAAAUUCCAUAUCGCUAACUGCUCCUCAGAGAGAGCUAGCAUUUGUAUCCAAGCAUGAUAUUUUCUUUCUCCAUAUCUGAUCCUAUAUGCAGCUGCUGGGAUACCAUAAAACAAACCAGCUGGGAGAUCAGUAGGCUGUUUCCAAGCCCAUUCUUUGGAAGAUUAACUGCUCCUCAGAAAAUGAUCAUUCAUGGAUGGCUUUUGGCAGGAGGCAAAGGGAGGGAAGAAGAUCCUCCCUGGAUCUGUUUGCUUGAAAGCUUAGGGUAAAUGCUCUCUUUUGCGCAUUGCUGAUCUAUAAGAUACACAUAUCCUGAAACACUGUGCUUGUGCAGUGGGAGUAAAAAACUCAGUUGAAUUCCAUUAAGCUACCCUGGUGAGUGUAGUAAGCUUAGGGGCUCUUGAGCGUUUUUAUUUAAUAUGAAGAGUGUUAUUCAACUCAGAAAUCAUGGGCACUUCCAGCUACAAGGGAAACCUUUUAUACUUACUCCAUCAGGAAAACAAUACUAGGACUUUAGAAAUAAAUCCUAAAGAACUGUGAUGUUUUAGUUGUAACAAGAUAAUGGCAGAACUGUAACAGGACUGUGGAUCCACUUAACCAGACACAGGAAAAAAAAAAA
This is a non-coding RNA of Phasianus colchicus (ring-necked pheasant), 1136 nucleotides long. The record is from RefSeq and is a predicted model, not a curated record. NCBI's taxonomy places the organism in Eukaryota, Metazoa, Chordata, Aves, Galliformes, Phasianidae.